This 407-nucleotide ribosomal RNA is filed under the name uncultured bacterium. Its description in RNAcentral is "partial 16S ribosomal RNA". It matches the Rfam family "Bacterial small subunit ribosomal RNA", at positions 30 to 526 of the family's 1533-position model. The record is from RNAcentral.
AUUGAACGCUAGCGGGAUGCCUUACACAUGCAAGUCGAACGGUGUGGCGAACGGGUGGGUAAUGUAUCGGUACGUGCCCAGUAGCGGGGGAUAACUACGCGAAAGCGUAGAUAAUACCCCAUACUCUUGCGGCGGCAGAUAUGGGUUUAGCUGGGUGGUGGGGUAACGGCACACCAAGGCGACGAUCCGGAGCUGGUUGGCGAGGACGAGCAGCCACACUGGAACUGAGACACGGCCCAGACUCCUACGGGAGGCAGCAGUGGGGAAUUUUGGACAAUGGGAGAAACCCUGAUCCAGCCAUCCCGCGUGUGUGAUGAAGGCCUUCGGGUUGUAAAGCACUUUUGGCAGGGAAGCGUUACCUGCAGAAUAAGCACCGGCUAACUACGUGCCAGCAGCCGCGGUAAUAC